GGCCCAGACAUGUCUCCUUCAAUCUCACAACACAAAACCCAAUAAUGUUGGCUAUAAUUCCCAGGUAAAAUUUCAAUCAUCAAAUGGAGUAAUGAGAUAAUUAACGAUAAAACUAAAUGUAAGCCAAUGUUGUACUGCCAUUGAAACAAACCUCUAUUAUUUAAUUUUUUGACCAUGAUCAUCCCUACUCUCUUUCUAUCAAGGUAGGGUAACUUUGGCUGUGUCUUUAGGGAAAGGAAUAUCUAAUAAUUACUUAUAAUAGAACUGAUGAUAAUGAUAGUUGACAACUAAUGAAUAACUGCAGAAAUAGGGUGAUGAUUAAAGCUGAGUUAGACAUUACCUCUUGAAAAAGAAGCAUAGUCCUCAGAGAUGAUCGCUAGGAACAGGAAAAAAAAAAAAAAAGAAAGAAAGAAAAAACAGGGUUGACGUGAAAAGUUAAAUCCUAAGUUCUCAAGAGCUAACAAUAACCUAAGAUGAAAUACUACUUCCAACCACUCGCUAACAACCUAUAACUAAGCCUUCUUGCACCCUGAGAUUGUGCUAGAGAAGGAAUUGUACCUUUUGGAAUGGAUCCCAAUAUACUAUUACAUGUCUACUCUAGAAGCAUCAUUCUGGGAGCUGUGGAUGGGAAAGUAAAGAUGGAUUCAAACAUUAUGUAUCACCUGCAUAACAAAGGAACUUCUGGUGGUAUUAUCUUGAUAUCAUCUAUGAUAUCGAAUUAUACUACAGAGCAAUAGUAAUAAAGCCACAUUUUUUGGCAUAAAAGCAGACAGGUUGAUCAACUACAUAGAAUUGAAAUCCUGAAAUAAAUCAGAUUUGUACCACAUUUUUAAAUGAGUUGCAUGGUUUGGUGGUGUCUAAUUUCUUGAGUUUGUAUAUAUUCAUGACAUUAGUACUCUGUCAGAUGUAGGGUAGAUGAAGAUCUAUUCCCAUUCUGUAGGUUGCCCUUUUGUCCUAUUGCCUCGCAAAAGCUUUUCAGACUCAAGAGACACUAUUUAAUAAUUUUGACCUUACUGAUUGAGCUAUUGGUAUUCAUGUCAAGAAUAAGUCUUCUAUCCCAAAAAGUUCAAGGUAGUUCCCUACUUUCUCUUUUAAUAGAUUUAGUAUGUCCAGUUUUAUGUUGAGGUCUUUUAUCCACUUGGUCUUUUAUCCAGAAAGGGAUGGUUGAUCAUCUCCUAUGACCACUCUUGAUAAAAAUCUUGGGCAGACCAGAGAUAUAAGGCACAUACUUUCUUUUAUUAGAUAUUUUAUUUUCAUUACAAAAAUCAUCCCCUUUCCUAGUUUCCCCUUUGAAAAUCAUCUCUCAUGUCCUCACUCACCCUACUCCCCAACCUGCCAACUCCUGCUUCCUGGCCCAGGCAUUCCCCUAUACAGGGGCAUAGAACCUUCAGAGGAUCAAGAGCCUUUCCUCCCAUUUAUGACGGACCAGGCCACCCUCUGCUACAUAAAGCCACAAUUCCCACAAUGUUUUUUAUUUGAUUUGAUUUGAUUUGAUUUGAUUUGAUUUGAUUUGAUUUGAUUUGAUUGAUGGUUUAGUUCCAGGGAGCUCUGGGGUUACUGGUUAAUUCAUAUUGUAGUUGUUCCUAGAGGGUUGCCAACCCCUUCAGUUCCUUGGGUACUUUCUCCAGCACUUUCGUUAGGGACGCUGUGCUCUGUCUAAUGAAUGACUGUGAGCAUCCACAUCUGUAUUAGUCAGGCACUGGCAGAGCCUGUCAGAAGACAUCUAUAACAGGCUCCUAUCAGCAAGCUAUUGUUGGCUAUUAUGUAUUUACAUACAUAAAAUAAAUAAGUAAAUCUUUUUUUUUAAAAAGCUAUAUUAGAACAGCUCAAACAAAUGACUAAUUCUUGUCAAUAUAUUAUGAAAAAGGUGAUAAAAAUAGAUACUCCAAAAGAAAUAGAGUCCAAAACCAAUCUAAUGAAACACUGAGAAUAUAAAGAAUAUUGGUAGAAAUACGUGCAACAUGAAACAAAAUGAGUCAUUCUAGGAAAUUUGUAUUAAUAUUACUCUGCAUAAUCCCACAGCUCUUUCCUUGUUCCUUUUCCUUUAACUACUUUGAAGUUAUGAAUAAGAUUUUAAACCAUCUGAUCUAUAUCUUCAUGGUAUCACUGAUUAAAGCCAUGUCACGUAAGAGCUGAGAUGAUGGUGCAGUGAUUAUAAACAUUGGUUCUUAUUUCUGAGGACCUAUGUUUAGUUCCUAGUAUCUUCAUAGCAGCUCCAACUGUCUAUAGCUCCAGUUCCAAAAGAACAAUUGUGUUUUUCUGAACAUUGUAAGCACUGGAUGUAUAUGGUACACAGACACCCCUC
This 2305-nucleotide long non-coding RNA is filed under the name Mus musculus (house mouse). RNAcentral's name for it is "long non-coding RNA chr6:133124360-133126665". The record is from RNAcentral. Lineage: Eukaryota; Metazoa; Chordata; Mammalia; Rodentia; Muridae.